AUUGAACGCUGGCGGAAUGCUUUACACAUGCAAGUCGAACGGCAGCACGGACUUCGGUCUGGUGGCGAGUGGCGAACGGGUGGGUAAUGUAUCGGAACGUGCCCAGUCGUGGGGGAUAACGUAGUGAAAAUUACGCUAAUACCGCAUACGAUCUAUGGAUGAAAGCGGGGGAUCGCAAGACCUCGCGCGAUUGGAGCGGCCGAUAUCAGAUUAGGUAGUUGGUGGGGUAAAGGCCCACCAAGCCAACGAUCUGUAGCUGGUCUGAGAGGACGACCAGCCACACUGGAACUGAGACACGGUCCAGACUCCUACGGGAGGCAGCAGUGGGGAAUUUUGGACAAUGGGCGAAAGCCUGAUCCAGCCAUUCCGUGUGCGGGAUGAAGGCCCUCGGGUUGUAAACUGCUUUUGUACAGAACGAAAAGGUUUCUACUAAUACUAGGAGCUCAUGACGGUACUGUAAGAAUAAGCACCGGCUAACUACGUGCCAGCAGCCGCCGUAA
This 500-nucleotide ribosomal RNA is filed under the name uncultured bacterium. RNAcentral describes it as "partial 16S ribosomal RNA". It matches the Rfam family "Bacterial small subunit ribosomal RNA", at positions 30 to 523 of the family's 1533-position model. The record is from RNAcentral.